Molecule: long non-coding RNA, 800 nt
Organism: Hyla sarda
Lineage: Eukaryota; Metazoa; Chordata; Amphibia; Anura; Hylidae
Exons: 3
Source: RefSeq, a predicted model, not a curated record
CUUCGCUCCAACAAAGUACCUUGUGAUGUCACACGCUGAAUCCACGAGGCUGAGGCGCUGCAGCGUGUCGGGGAACCGGCUUACAGACUUCUACCUGACCCGGCAGAAACGUGGACUGAUCUCCAUCAAAUUACCGAUGCCGCGCGCCUCCAUCCUCCAUCCUGCAUCCUGCUCCCAGCUCCGAUGGCGCGUACCCGGAAGUCCGGGGUGCUGAACCGGGUGGAUGCUCGCACGGCACAGUCAGAGCAGAUCUUUGUUACUACUGAUGCACAAUGCCUGCAGUGUACCAGCAUCACUCUCCUGUGCAGGAUGAAACAUAUCCAUCAACAGAUAAAAUACCACUGAAGGCUUUGACAGGACUUGAUUUUUUUUUCCAACAUAUUUAACAAAGAGAGAAAUUUGAUAACAAAAAGUUGCCCUUGGUACUUCUGUAAGCCUCCCUCACUGCUUUCCACUUUAUUUGCAGAAAAUGGGCCAAGUGCUUUAUAAAUAUGGCAUUCUGUCUGAUCAUGUUAGUUUUCUUUUAUUGUACAUUUGCAAGACAACUGGCCAAAAUGUAUUGCUACAUUUUCUAUAUACAUCUCUAAAUUCUAGUACAUGACAAAAUACUUGCUGCUCGACCACUAAAGGUAAAUCAGUGUAUAUACGUUUAUACAGCUACUAGUGAAAUAAAUGGAAGCUGAAUACAUUUUUUUGCAGUGAGCUCCCCCUUGUGGUGUUUUCAUGGCAAUCGGAAAAUUCUACAAUUCCAGCAAGAUUUCAGUGCAGAGCAUCUCUCCGUGAGCCCCAUAGCAAUGGUG